GCCCAGACUGCUGCCAUCUUACCCGGACCUUCUUCUGGACCCAUCUGGCCAGCAACACCCUCUCCUGUUGGACAGCUCGUUGCUGCUGCUCGCGUGGAAGAUUUCCGGGGUCUCUUGGAAAUCUAAGGAAUUUUGAAUGCAACUCAAUGCCUCCUGUCUGACGUUUGGGCUCCCGGGACUAGAAAAUCAUAUGGGACCGCUUGGAGAGCUU
This is a non-coding RNA of Pelobates cultripes (western spadefoot toad), 211 nucleotides long. NCBI's taxonomy places the organism in Eukaryota, Metazoa, Chordata, Amphibia, Anura, Pelobatidae. The record is from the annotation of a GenBank genome assembly.